Molecule: ribosomal RNA, 552 nt
Filed under: Papiliotrema flavescens
Lineage: Eukaryota; Fungi; Basidiomycota; Tremellomycetes; Tremellales; Rhynchogastremaceae
Description: eukaryotic LSU rRNA
Rfam family: Eukaryotic large subunit ribosomal RNA
Source: RNAcentral
AGUAACGGCGAGUGAACCGGGAAGAGCUCAAAUUUGAAAUCUGGCGUGCUCAGUGCGUCCGAGUUGUAAUCUAUAGAGUCGUUUUCCGUGCCGGACUGUGUCCAAGUCCCUUGGAACAGGGUAUCAAAGAGGGUGAUAAUCCCGUACUUGACACAAUGACCGGUGCUCUGUGAUACGUCUUCUACGAGUCGAGUUGUUUGGGAAUGCAGCUCAAAAUGGGUGGUGAGUUCCAUCUAAAGCUAAAUAUUGGCGAGAGACCGAUAGCGAACAAGUACCGUGAGGGAAAGAUGAAAAGCACUUUGGAAAGAGAGUUAAACAGUACGUGAAAUUGUUAAAAGGGAAACGAUUGAAGUCAGUCGUGACUGAGAGGCUCAGCCGGUUCUGCCGGUGUAUUCCCCUCAGUCGGGUCAACAUCAGUUUUGUUCGGUGGAUAAGGGCAGUUGGAAGGUGGCACCCUCGGGUGUGUUAUAGCCAGCUGUCGCAUACAUCGGAUGAGACUGAGGAAUGCAGCUCGCCUUUAUGGCCGGGGUUCGCCCACGUUCGAGCUUAGGA